RNAcentral lists this ribosomal RNA (574 nucleotides) under Micratheta caudex. RNAcentral describes it as "partial 16S ribosomal RNA". It matches the Rfam family "Bacterial large subunit ribosomal RNA", at positions 1911 to 2712 of the family's 2925-position model. The record is from RNAcentral. Lineage: Eukaryota; Metazoa; Arthropoda; Insecta; Coleoptera; Staphylinidae.
AAUGAAUUUUUUAAUGGCCGCAGUAUUUUGACUGUGCAAAGGUAGCAUAAUCAUUAGUUUCUUAAUUAGAAACUGGAAUGAAAGGUUGAACGAGAAAAUAACUGUCUCUUUAUAGAUUUUUUAGAAAUUUAUUUUUAAGUUAAAAAGCUUAAAUAAAAUUUAAAGACGAGAAGACCCUAUAGAGUUUUAUAAAUUAAUUUAAAAAUUUUUAGUUAGAAUUUUAUAAUUUUUUUAGAUUAAUUUAUUUGAUUGGGGUGAUUAAAAAAUUUAAUAAACUUUUACAAGUUUUUACAUUAAUUUAUGAAUUUUUGAUCCAUUAUUUUAUGAUUAUAAGAUUAAAUUACCUUAGGGAUAACAGCGUAAUUUCUUUGAAGAGUUCUAAUCAAUAAAGAAGUUUGCGACCUCGAUGUUGGAUUAAAAUAAAAUUUUGGUGUAGAAGCUAAAAAUUUUAGGUCUGUUCGACCUUUAAAAUUUUACAUGAUCUGAGUUUAAACCGGUGUGAGCCAGGUUGGUUUCUAUCUUAAUUUAAUAUUGGUAUUUUAGUACGAAAGGACCAAAUAUCAGUAAAAUUUAU